Long non-coding RNA from Schistocerca nitens (vagrant locust), 1615 nucleotides. RefSeq lists it as uncharacterized. The transcript has 3 exons. Lineage: Eukaryota; Metazoa; Arthropoda; Insecta; Orthoptera; Acrididae. The record is from RefSeq and is a predicted model, not a curated record.
AAAUGUAUUGGCGGGGCACAUUUAUUACAAUGGUGUCUCAACAGUGAACAAUUCUUCAGUACCCAUUUACAGUCAUGAUAUUUUUCUGUGCAAAUAUUUCCACAUCUACUUUGUUGACAAAAAGAAUAAUUCCAUAAUUUUUCAUAGCUUUAUUGGAACCACCAUAAAAACCACUCCACUUGUCUGAAAGCUGUGUAGAAUCCUGAUUGCAAAUAGCAGACCAUUUCAUUUCUUUGCCAGGUGCUGAAGAUUUGAGAUCCAGGAAAAUUUUGCUCCAGUGUUGUCGAAUAUUUUAACAAUCUUGUUCCAUCAAUUCUGGUCUUCUUAUUAACUGAUAUUUAUUUUUAGAUUUGUUAAGUUAUGUAUCGUGAUAAAUGUUUUCUUAAUAUUUAAUUGAUUAUCAGUAAAAAAGUUUUUAACCCCAGGUUUGUCAUUUCUUUUGUACCUUUUUGUAAUAAAUAUCUUAUUGCAACUGUUCCAGGUAAAAUGAACUAUUUCUUCCACCAACAGCAGGGGUAUGUCAACAUCCCAUUUUUUGGUACUGCGUUUUCUGUGAGUGUAUGGCCCAUGCACUGCACUCUUAGAUAAAAAUAUUAUAAGGAAAGAGGCAUUGCUGUUUGAGAUCAUUUGGAAGACCAUUUGAAUCCAAGAAAAAAGAGAUUGCUACUUAUGGACUCCAGAAAAAGUGACUGCCAAGCUACCCUUCAUAAUAAACGCGUAAAAGUGAUUCCUGAGUAUUGUAUACAGUCAGUGAAUGAACAAUGGGCGACCAAAAAAAGAGUUAUUGACCAGCUUAGAAAAGCUUCGGAGUCAUCUGAAAAGCCUGACAGCCACCUUCAUUUCUAUCUGGUCGCUUCCCAAGUAACUCAGCAUACAUGCUACUGAGUGUGUUGAAGCAAAUGGGAACAUAUGUCAUUUGCUUGAGGAUACAGACAUUGAGCAUCAUGUUCCUGAAUGCUCAAACACUCAUUCGCAGCAACUUGAGGCAAGGGAGUUGUGUGAACAGAUUAAAAAUCUCAUGUUCAAUUCCAGUAACAGUGAAGCCUCGCAAAAAGUUCUUGAAUCGCUAAGAAACUGUGUGUUAAUCAAAGAGGUUCUGGUGUGAAGACCUAUAUUGUACAUAUAGUAAGGCCAGUAAUACACAAUGAGAUAUUCUUUGAGAAACAAAAGUGAUCAAAUAUCCUUCAUAUUUUCUUUCACAAAGAUCUUUGACAUCACAGUUCAUUCAGAAUGGCUGACAAAGACUUACUACUGUGCUUUGCAGUUAUGUGUACCACAAUUGCAUUUUAUUUACAUCUGGAAGAGAAGAAGAAAAGAAAAAGAGAAAACGUACUUGGCAAGACGCUAAAAGCAUCCAGCAAAAUUUGUUACGGGAGCUGCAAAUCAAGGAUGUAAAGUCAUAUGAAAAUUACUUGCAAAUGGACGAGAGUAAAUUUCAUUGUGUGCUCAAGAAAGUGGCUGCUCAUAUUAUGAAGCAGAACGCUCACUUUAGAAAUGCUAUAUAUGCAAAAAGACAGACUUACCAUAACACUGUGAUUUCUUGCAACAGGAGAAAGCUACUGUAGUUUACAGUACAACACUUGAAUACUGCAGUGCACAUUUUUGAAAGUACCAG